Molecule: non-coding RNA, 2756 nt
Organism: Ictidomys tridecemlineatus (thirteen-lined ground squirrel)
Lineage: Eukaryota; Metazoa; Chordata; Mammalia; Rodentia; Sciuridae
Source: RefSeq, a predicted model, not a curated record
GGGGCGGAUGGGACAGUCCGAGCGCCGCCGCCGCUGCUCCGGCCCCUGCCGGCCCCGCUUGCCUUCUCCCCGCCGCGGAUGGACUCGGAUCUUCCGGGCCUAAGUCCCCCUUCAGCUGCCUAAAGGAGCCGCCGCCAUCGCGCUGUGACGUCACUUCCCCUAGCAACCCGGAGGGGCGGGGCCACGCCGCUGGGGCGGGGAAGGGGGCGGGGCCCGAUGCUUCGGUCGGCGCUGGCGCAUGCGCCCAGCUGCAUCCGCUCUGGGCUCCGGGAUCCCGGGCCUGUUCCGCCUUCCCACUGGCGGGCUCCCCUGGGUCGCUCGGGGCUUUGGGUUGCAAGUGUCAGGGAAGCCAGCCGGUCCUCUCGACAGACCUGGGAAAGGUGCCAGGCAGUGCCCUUUGCACGAGGACAGAGGGUCCCAGCCCUGGAUCAGGGGUCAUAAGUGUGCAGUCCACCCUGACAGGAGCUGCCAUUUUCUGGACUUUGGGCGCUGCAGGACAUCAGUACCUGCGGUGUUUGGCUGCCCACCCCUUCUCAGUACCAAGCGAAGGGGGAGGAAGAGCUGGCCUCCUGGUCCACCUCUGUCCACCUCUGGGGCCCUCAAAGUGGGCAAUAAGAUGGGUGGAUGGUGAAACCACCAAGGGUGCAGAGGGUGAGGCCCAGACAUCUGUCUCCUCUCCCUGCAGUGCCAUCAGCCUGGACACAAGUCAACAUCUUUAUCUGAUCCUUGUUGAAUGUGAACUUGCUUCUGGAAAAAGCAAACAAGGAUGUGGAAGUUCAAGUUGACAACUGGCUUCAGACAGAGGAAUCCCCCAGAGAAGCCCCACACAGGGGAUGGCACAGAAGGCCCUUGCCAGAUGCAAGCCUCUUGACCUUGGGCUCUUCAGCCUCCAAAGGGACACCGUCAAUACGCUCUCUCCUCCGGACAAGAAGAGCUCUGCGCUAGUGGGGACGAUGGGUCCUUUCUGCUGCCCCGGCUGUGGCAAUGGACAGUGGCCCCCUAGCAGGAUGGCAUCCUUUCCUGCAGACUCUGAAGAGGAGGGACCAGGAGCCCUCCAGGCUUGGCCUGCCUCUUGCACAAGGCCAUGGAGGCGCAGAACCCACAUGGCAGCAAGAAGCUCUUCAGCUCUGUUGACCGUGGGUGAGUACAAGGGUUCCGUGGAGAGGAGGCCUGCGGGGCUCGGGGGAGCCCUAGAGUGGUGGAGAGCCAGCUGGGCUUGGUCUGGGGUCUGGGUGCUCCAGGCUUUGAGGCAAUGGCAGGCACUUGGCCCAGAGACUUCCAGACUCGGGUUCUAACCACCCUCCCCAUCAGAGGCUCUCAGCAGGCUUCUAUCCAACCCUGUCCUGAUCACUUCUUGGAACAUCAGAGGCCUGUCUGUGCAAGCAGUGGACAGAAUGACCACUGGUGCUGCCCAUCAGCUUCCUGGUCCUCCAUGUGGACUGUGCAUACUGACUUACAGCAUGAGGAGUUGGGGGAAAGAAUCCUUCAUUGGAGCACUGCCUCUUGAAACGAUGAGAUGGGAAAGGCACUUUGUGAUCUUCCUUCCCUAACAUCCCAAGCCCCAGUCAAAACAGGAGGAAAACAUCAGGCAAAUCCCAGCAGAGGGAUAGUGUAAAAACUGACCAGUGCUCCUAACUGUGAAGACCAGAACAAUGAAAAGUCUGAGAAAAGCAUAGCCAUGAGGAGACAGGACAAGUAAGUGUCACGUGGGAUCUUGGAUGGGAUCCUGGAGAGAAAAGCAUCUCGGGGAACUUGGAUGAAGUAUAAGCUUUAGUGAUGCACCAACACUGGCCCUAAUGGAAGCUGUUAACAGAAGGGAAACUGGGUGUGAGGUCGUGGGAACUCUCUGAUAUCUCCACAGCUGAUCUGUAAGCCUAAAUUCAUUCCAAACUAAAAAUGUUACCGAAAAAAUGUUUAAAAAUUGCUUUAGUUUUCUGAUUGUUCCCACAACAAGCUAAAGGUCUUCCCUGUUACUCCCAGCUUGCUAAUAACAAUGGGUCUUUAAAUCUAUCAUUUCUUGAGAUGAUAAAAUAGAAGCACACAAAGCACAUCAACAGGGUUGCCCGUGGGUCAGGGGAAUGAGCAAGGAAUGAUUCAGUGGAGUGCUGAGAUGGAAUCAUAUUCCAUGACCCAGGGACUGCCUAAAGUAGGUCCAUCAAAAGAAAGAAAGAAGGAAGCCAGGCAAGGGUCCCACCUGUGGUCCCAAUACCCAGGAGCAGAGGCAGGAGGAUCAAGUUCAAGGUCAGCUAGGACAACUCGGUGAGACCCUAUCUCAAAAUAAUUUUUAAAAACGGGCUGGGGAUGUAGCUUAAUGGUAGAGUGUUUGCCUAGCAUAUUCGAGGUCCUGGGUCUAAACCCCCAGCACUGCAAAAACAAAACAAAACACAAAUAAAAGAAGAAAAUUGGUUGUAAGAUAGAAAGCUGGUGAGCCAGCUGCAGAGCCUCACUGACUUUCUGGAGAGCAUCUGUUGACCUGGCAGGGAGAAGACUGGCCACUCGAUGCACCAGCCACAGGAUACCCAUUGUGAAGUUAUGGGAGAUGAUGAAAAAAUAGGGGCUGGGAUUGUGGCUUAACGGUAGAGCGCUUGCCUAGCAUGUGCAGGGCCCUGGGUUUGAUCCUCAGCACCACAUGAAAGUAAACAAAUGGAAUAGGGGUAUUGUGUCCAACUAUAAAAAAAAAAAAGAAAAAGAACAGAAAUUAAUGUCACAAUUUAAGAAACACUCAAAUAGAACUAUUUUUAAAUAUGGAAAGAGAA